RNAcentral lists this ribosomal RNA (278 nucleotides) under uncultured Alistipes sp. RNAcentral's name for it is "partial 16S ribosomal RNA". It matches the Rfam family "Bacterial small subunit ribosomal RNA", at positions 511 to 788 of the family's 1533-position model. The record is from RNAcentral. Lineage: Bacteria; Pseudomonadati; Bacteroidota; Bacteroidia; Bacteroidales; Rikenellaceae.
GCAGCCGCGGUAAUACGGAGGAUGCGAGCGUUAUCCGGAUUUAUUGGGUUUAAAGGGUGCGUAGGCGGGAUAUUAAGUCAGUGGUGAAAUCACGAAGCUCAACUUCGUAACUGCCAUUGAAACUGGUAUUCUUGAGUGCGGUAGAAGUGUGCGGAAUGCGUAGUGUAGCGGUGAAAUGCAUAGAUAUUACGCAGAACCCCGAUUGCGAAGGCAGCACACCGGGCCGUAACUGACGCUGAAGCACGAAAGCGUGGGUAUCGAACAGGAUUAGAUACCCC